This is a long non-coding RNA of Oreochromis aureus, 4395 nucleotides long. NCBI's taxonomy places the organism in Eukaryota, Metazoa, Chordata, Actinopteri, Cichliformes, Cichlidae. The record is from Ensembl.
AGUGAAGACUCUCACCAGCAGGGACCAGGACCACACCUACUCUCUAAUCAUCAUUCAAAAGCUCCUUUUUAUACUUGACCUCUUAAUCUGAAUAUGCCAGCUUCAUGUUUGAAUAAACACAAGGUCAGUUUUCCACAAGCAGUCACAGUGGCACUUCCCUUGCUGUUAAUAUGUCAGACUUAACACUGAUAUGUUACUUUCAAUAUGGCAUGCAGGAAAGUUCUCAUGCAGAAGUGCCACAGCUGCACGCAGUUAAAUCAGAUUUUUCUAGCAGAGGUUUCUAAGGGUAAGCCAACACGUGUUGCUUAAAGUUCUGUUAAAAAUAAAAGUAGUGUAAUUUGCACAGCUCCACAGUGUCAGCCUGUGGCCUGAUCUCAGUUGUGGGAAAGCUGGCCUACUUGCUUAAGUCAUGGUUUUAAUGUCACAGCCUGUCUUAGUAUUCUUCUUAACCAUAUGCAUGCCUGUCUGCCUGUAGUGCACCGUGCUGCAAAGCAAGUCAUCUCAAACUAGCAAUAAGUUUUGCAAUAAGGAAAUUCAUAUCUUGGACAAACAAAGAAUUUCAUUAAAACUAUAUCAGAGGUAUAAAUAUCAGAAUUUUAUAUCCUACAGCACAGUUCAGGAACUGUGUGUUGAAAUCCAGCUGAAUACGGCUUUAGAAUAACUUUGAUUGUAGAGUAAAAACAGAUGCUGGACAGUGUUUGCAGUUGGACGGGUUUGUGUUCAUUGUUUGACCCGAUGAAACUACAGUACUGCCAUCCAGUAAAUAAUACAUGUAAUUUCAUGUAACCCCAACAGCUUGUGUCAGACGAAACUAAAUAGAGCUCUGUAACCUGGAAGGAUAAAUAAAUGGAUUCUGUAGGACCACUUUUUUUUAAAUGAAGGAGGGAAGAGUGUGUAUCUGUGUGUGAUGUGUUUGAAGGAGGAGUGUCAUCAUUUGAAAAAACCCAAAAAACAGAAGUUCCUGUUUGUGAGUGAAAAAGGAAGAGAAGCAGCAUGAACCCACCAAAGCCUCGAUAUGAAAGUCUGUCAAACUUUCCUGUGUUUCAUCUUCCUCAACCUGCAGGAUGGAAACACUGGACUUGCCAACGCUGAAACUCUCGUCUAUGGAGUGGAAGGAGGAAACAUCACAGUCGAAUGUAAAUUUUAUAUCCCCGGAAGAAAGACAUUGUUCUGUAAAGAUAAAUGUGAAAAAGGAAACAUUCUCAUUGAAACAGCUGAUUACACAGCUCAGAGUGGCAGAUACAGCAUUAAAUAUGAAAAAAGUUAUUUCUCAAAGGAUAUUGUGCAUGUGAGCAUCACACAGCUGAAAAAGUCUGAUGCAGGAUGGUACAGGUGCACACUGGACACAAGUGUUCAACCAUGUGAUUUUCAGCUUGUCAUCACAGGAGCCUCCACAACAACAACACAGAAUUUUAACUUCCAUGACACAUUCAGCAGGCUCAGGUUUCUCCUUGCAUUUGGUUACAUGUAUAACUGUGGUGGUGGUUCUGCUGCCUGUUGUUCUGCUGCUCAUCUACAGAAAAAGGGCUGGUGGCUCUUUCGGUUUGAACAGCAGCAGAAACUCAGAACAAGGCCAGACUGAGAUUGGUCUCAGUGAACUCUAUCAUCCAGUCUCCUCAUGUGAAGACUCGAUCUACCAAAGCCUCAAUAUAGCCAGCAGAGAUCACGACCAAAUCUACUCUACUCUCAGACACAAUAAGCAGUCUUCAGAUGUGAGCUCCUGUCAGACUGAAUGACUGCAUGAAACAUGGCAAUAGUACUUCUAUUGUUUACUUUACCAGGCUCCAUCACUGAGCCUGGUAAAGUAAACAAUAGAAGUACUAUUGCCAUGUUUCAUGCAGUGACGUGGAUUUUGUCGUCAGCUCAUUUUCUUUUACGCAGACAUCGACAUGCCUGCCAACUUUUAACGAUGGCAGAUAUGAGUCAUUUGCAGAGGAGAGGAAACUCCUCUACAGUGCACCAACUAUGAGUUCAAGGAAAUGUAUCGCGAUAGUGUCAGCGUCUAUCUUGGUUUAUUUUCAUACACUUGAUUUAUUCCUAGUUUUUAAGGACGUACCUGCAGCCUUACCAUGCAUUCCAAAUGUUUUGUAUUUUAAAUCUGGAUAACCUUCCUCCAGAUAGAAAAACAUAAACAUAAUGGACAAAUCUGAACCUCAGGGAGUGACUUUAUACUCUCUAAUAUCAAAAAGGACAAAGAUGUUGAAAAUGAAAUAUCAUAAAAUAAAACAUGUAAUAUCAUGAAAAUGUUGGAUGUAAUUCAUUUGCACCAUUUAUUGGUUCUGAGAUGCUGGAGUCUCGCAUCUCCCACAGGGCGAGAGGUGGGUAAAACCUGGACAGGUCACUAGACUGUCUCACGUGAAAGUCUUCUGACUAUAAUAAAAGUCUUACGAGUCCCACAAAGAGGAACAUCUGAUCACCCUAACUGUGAAGCUCAGGCUAAGCAUUCACUUGAUAGACAGUCUUUCUUUUCUUUUCUGUGUAUGACAUCAGUUAGAGGGGAUAUUUUAGAUGUUGUAAUCUUUGACACACAGCUCAGGAAGCUCCACCCACCUGCCAUUACAAACUUAUGUUUACAAGCCAAUCAGGAGAAAGCUGACUUAAAUGGAGGCUGGUCUUAAUAGAGGGGUGAGCUAAAAGAGGAUGGAGGAGGAACUGAGGGAAGCUGUAGUACACUGUCACACAAUUAUUUAAAAUAAAUUGUCAUUGAAGUCCAUACAGUCUGUUUGGGUAGAGACAAAAAGGAGCUCUGAAAACCAAAAGAGUAAAGUUUUGGAGGACAAUUUAAAUGGAAACAGACACUUAUCAUGUCUCUGUGGUAGAAAAAUUACAGACAGGAGGAGUGUUUAUUUUAAGGAAGGGGCACAUUAAUAAGAGAAGUGACAAGUUCCUAGUUUGUAAAUAGAGAAGGAAGAGAAUCAGCUUGAACUCUUCAGAGCAUCAGUAUGAAAGUUUGUCACAUUUUGUUCUGCGUCAUCUUCCUCUACCUGCAGGAUGGAAACACUGGACUUGCCAACGCUGAAACUCUUGUCUAUGAAGGAGUGGAAGGAGGAAACAUCACUGCUGAAUGUAAAUUUUAUAUCCCCGGAAGUAAGACAUUGUUCUGCAAAGACAAAUGUGAAAAAGGAAACGUUCUCAUUGAAACAGCUGAUAACACAGCUCAGAGGGGCAGAUACAGCAUUAAAUAUGAAAAACAAAUGUACUGUCAAAGGACGUGCAUGUGAGCAUCACACAGCUGAACAAGUCUGAUGCAGGAUUGUACAGGUGCACACUGGACACAAGUUUACAACCAUGUGAUUUUCAGCUUGUCAUCACAGGAGCUUCCACAACAACAACAACAACAACACACUUCAGUUCAGGAAGCUUCACACCUUCAUCAACCUCUCCUGAAACACCGUCAUCAGGCUCAGGUGCAGAUAAGCUGCUUUACAUGAUUCUGACUCUGGUUCUUAUGAUCAUCAUCUUAUCAGCAACUUUGCUGAUUUUCUACAAGAACAGGAAGGCCAUUAAACCCAAAGGCCAAGCAAGAAAUAAGAGAGGGGGCCCCACAGAGGAAGGUGGAAAUGUCUUCAAUUUACACCUCUGCCAAAGGUCCCCAACCAGAUGGAGCUGAAAACAUCGACCUCUACAACCUCACCACCUGUUCUCAGAACAAAGCUGAAGACGACAUGAAUAAAGUUAAUUAUGCUGAAGUGGAUUUUUCCCACAUUCCUGCCACCAACAGCGCCUCCUUGUGUAAAACGGAUGAAGUUGUCUACUCCACACCUCUGGUGCAUACCAGCCCUUCCAGCCUCACCACAGAUGCUUCACCUCCUCUGUACUCUGCAGUUAAGAAACAGUAUUAAUGCUGCUGAUGGCACUUUCCUCUCACAAAGAUCAACAAGUGAUUAUAAUUCAGACAAAACUGAAUGUUCUUUUCUGUUUAUUGCAACUAUUAAUGUCCUUUCAAUCAGUUGAUCUCAGGUUAAAGAUGUUUCUUUAUGACAGCCGUUGAUAGUUUAGUUUAACUUAACAGAAAACUAAUCCUGCUAUUCCCAUUAAUAUUUCCAUUGAAACUUUGUAGGACAGAUUCAAUUAAACAGUUGCAUAAAGCUCUGCAAACUGACUAGUAACACUCCAUACCUGUCCCUUGGGUAGUACAUUGCAUUUAGCUGUUGGAUUUCCAGAUAGUAAUCCUAUAACCAAGCAUGUGUCUGUAAUUAUGCAGCAUUAUUAGAGAUCCCUAAUUGUAGUUAUCAAAAGGCCAUUUUUAUUGUGGCUAACACUCUGGAUAGAGGUUUACCUCAAGACCAUUCUACCUCAACUCAUGCUCCAUAACUUUGGCUAACGGUGUGCAUGGUUGAUCAUUUUAAAAGCAUGUAUUUUAAUCAAAUAUUAGUUUGUUUGUGUUUUUUACCA